This is a transfer RNA of Ovis aries (sheep), 72 nucleotides long. It matches the Rfam family "tRNA". From Rfam's summary of the family: Transfer RNA (tRNA) molecules are approximately 80 nucleotides in length. Their secondary structure includes four short double-helical elements and three loops (D, anti-codon, and T loops). Further hydrogen bonds mediate the characteristic L-shaped molecular structure. tRNAs have two regions of fundamental functional importance: the anti-codon, which is responsible for specific mRNA codon recognition, and the 3' end, to which the tRNAs corresponding amino acid is attached (by aminoacyl-tRNA synthetases). tRNAs cope with the degeneracy of the genetic code in two manners: having more than one tRNA (with a specific anti-codon) for a particular amino acid; and 'wobble' base-pairing, i.e. permitting non-standard base-pairing at the 3rd anti-codon position. The record is from Rfam. NCBI's taxonomy places the organism in Eukaryota, Metazoa, Chordata, Mammalia, Artiodactyla, Bovidae.
UCCCUGGUGGUCCAGUGGCAAGGAUUCUGCACUACCAAUGCAGGGGCCCAGGUUGGAUUCCUGAUCAGGGAA